UACAGAGGGGGCGAGCGUUAUUCGGAAUUAUUGGGCGUAAAGGGCGCGUAGGCGGCCAUUCAAGUGACGGGUGAAAGCCCUCGGCUUAACCGAGGAACUGCCUGUCAGACUGGAUGGCUCGAGACCGGGAGAGGUGAGUGGAAUUCCCAGUGUAGCGGUGAAAUGCGUAGAUAUUGGGAGGAACACCAGUGGCGAAGGCGGCUCACUGGACCGGAACUGACGCUGAGGAGCGAAAGUGUGGGGAGCGAACAGG
RNAcentral lists this ribosomal RNA (253 nucleotides) under uncultured bacterium. RNAcentral describes it as "partial 16S ribosomal RNA". It matches the Rfam family "Bacterial small subunit ribosomal RNA", at positions 524 to 776 of the family's 1533-position model. The record is from RNAcentral.